UUAUGAUUUUAUCAUUCUUUAACAUUCAAUAUUCCUAUUAGUUGUUCAUUAGAUUGAUCUACCAUCGCUUUUCUUUUCUGAUAGUUAAAUGUCAUCGACACCAAGGUGUUAGGGUUCUUACCAUAAUGGUCUCUCCUUGGAUCAAGAAAGGCACCUGUUUGAUUAGAUUCCAGUUAAUAUCCAGGCUAUAAACGAAUCAAAGUUGGCAUCUGUAUGGGUACGAAUUACAAGGCUGCGUUAAUUCCGCAGCGAAUACGAGAUACAAUCCAUGGACCUCUGCAAUCCAUCAACUUGAUCAGGGUCCUUCUUCGUGUAAAAAGAAGGUUUAGUCUCAUUUUUAAGCCAUAAUCAGAAGUAAUUUUUGAAGAAUCAUCCAUUGUGGCACUGUUUGCUAAAGUUGAUGAAAACAUGGCUACAAGCUCCCUUAUAACAGUUGGCUCAUGGGGAUGGGAUUGGUGGCACAAGGAGACUUUAAAAACCAAGGGUCAAAGGAAGAACACAUGGAAAUUAUAACUGAAAAUCAACCGGGCCGCCUUUUAUGAUGCAGUUUUGUUCACGAUACCAUGUGCAUGACUAUUGACACACAAGGUGUUAUCUGCUAAGGGUAAUGAAGUUAUGGAUAUUGCCAUAAAGGCCGAUUUGGUUGUCUUGAACACGACUGUUGUUGGUAAAUGGUCUUCUGAACAAAGAUGCCUUCACGUGCUUCCAAAAGUGAUAUGGUGGAUUCAUGAGAUGCGAGGUGUGUAAAAUUUGUUAUGAUUAGAGGUGGCAAUUUCGACAUAAGGUGUCAAUUUGUAUUGUAUUUUAUUGGUAAAAGGUCAAAUGUUGAGAUCUAACUAUGAAAAGAAAUGGGUCAAAAGUCAUACUUAUUACAUAAUUUAUAUAGGAUUAUCGUUGAAUGUGCUUACAAAUUUUUAAAAAAUAAGCCAUUAUACUUAAAAAAAAUUAUACAUGAUUAAUAACUAAUAAAAUAAAACAACCCGUGGGCACCACGGGUGAUAACAGGAUAAAUCUUAGGGUUCUUUAAAAUGCAUAUGGGAUAAUAUUUGAUAAAUCUUAAUGAGAUCAGCUACUUUAUUUCUUGAUACAUCUUGCUAUUUUUCUUAUAAUAAGCAGUCUAUAAGUUUACCUACGAAUAAACUUUGGUUUUGUCUUUGCAUUUUUAUGUUCCUCAAAUGACAAAUAUUCAUAUGAUGCUAUUGUUAUAAAAAAAAGUUUAGGGGUUUAAUAUAAAAGUGCUUUAAGAAGGAAAGACAAUUGAAGAGGAAUCAUGAUGGAUUAUGUUAUUGAAUGAAGAAGUGAAGAUGAAUCUAACGCUGUUACAAUCUAUAACUGAUGUGAAAUCAAUUUACCAUUUGCCGGACCACAUGCCAAAUACCUCGCUACAUCAGCAACCGGUCAACUACUUCAUGAUGCCAGUUACAUAAGUUUUUGUUACCAUGUUUUCAUUUACUAAAAACAUUUUUAUUACAAGUUGUUUUGUCAUCUUUAAAGUGAAGUUCGAGUACGAAGACUUAGAGAAGUUGCACAUGUCCCUGUCCGACUAUUUGGUGGUAGUCUAGGGGGUGAAACUAAAGUGAGGUUUUGGGUUGAUCAGUUUAAAUGUAAUUUUUU
RNAcentral lists this long non-coding RNA (1614 nucleotides) under Helianthus annuus (common sunflower). RNAcentral describes it as "hypothetical non coding rna". Lineage: Eukaryota; Viridiplantae; Streptophyta; Magnoliopsida; Asterales; Asteraceae. The record is from RNAcentral.